GAAUGCUGACAUAAGUAACGAUAAAGCGGGUGAAAAGCCCGCUCGCCGGAAGACCAAGGGUUCCUGUCCAACGUUAAUCGGGGCAGGGUGAGUCGACCCCUAAGGCGAGGCCGAAAGGCGUAGUCGAUGGGAAACAGGUUAAUAUUCCUGUACUUGGUGUUACUGCGAAGGGGGGACGGAGAAGGCUAUGUUGGCCGGGCGACGGUUGUCCCGGUUUAAGCGUGUAGGCUGAUUUUCCAGGCAAAUCCGGAAAAUCAAGGCUGAGGCGUGAUGACGAGGCACUACGGUGCUGAAGCAACAAAUGCCCUGCUUCCAGGAAAAGCCUCUAAGCAUCAGGUAACAUCAAAUCGUACCCCAAACCGACACAGGUGGUCAGGUAGAGAAUACCAAGGCGCUUGAGAGAACUCGGGUGAAGGAACUAGGCAAAAUGGUGCCGUAACUUCGGGAGAAGGCACGCUGAUAUGUAGGUGAAGCGACUUGCUCGUGGAGCUGAAAUCAGUCGAAGAUACCAGCUGGCUGCAACUGUUUAUUAAAAACACAGCACUGUGCAAACACGAAAGUGGACGUAUACGGUGUGACGCCUGCCCGGUGCCGGAAGGUUAAUUGAUGGGGUUAGCGGUAACGCGAAGCUCUUGAUCGAAGCCCCGGUAAACGGCGGCCGUAACUAUAACGGUCCUAAGGUAGCGAAAUUCCUUGUCGGGUAAGUUCCGACCUGCACGAAUGGCGUAAUGAUGGCCAGGCUGUCUCCACCCGAGACUCAGUGAAAUUGAACUCGCUGUGAAGAUGCAGUGUACCCGCGGCAAGACGGAAAGACCCCGUGAACCUUUACUAUAGCUUGACACUGAACAUUGAGCCUUGAUGUGUAGGAUAGGUGGGAGGCUUUGAAGUGUGGACGCCAGUCUGCAUGGAGCCGACCUUGAAAUACCACCCUUUAAUGUUUGAUGUUCUAACGUUGGCCCGUUAUCCGGGUUGCGGACAGUGUCUGGUGGGUAGUUUGACUGGGGCGGUCUCCUCCUAAAGAGUAACGGAGGAGCACGAAGGUUGGCUAAUCCUGGUCGGACAUCAGGAGGUUAGUGCAAUGGCAUAAGCCAGCUUGACUGCGAGCGUGACGGCGCGAGCAGGUGCGAAAGCAGGUCAUAGUGAUCCGGUGGUUCUGAAUGGAAGGGCCAUCGCUCAACGGAUAAAAGGUACUCCGGGGAUAACAGGCUGAUACCGCCCAAGAGUUCAUAUCGACGGCGGUGUUUGGCACCUCGAUGUCGGCUCAUCACAUCCUGGGGCUGAAGUAGGUCCCAAGGGUAUGGCUGUUCGCCAUUUAAAGUGGUACGCGAGCUGGGUUUAGAACGUCGUGAGACAGUUCGGUCCCUAUCUGCCGUGGGCGCUGGAGAACUGAGGGGGGCUGCUCCUAGUACGAGAGGACCGGAGUGGACGCAUCACUGGUGUUCGGGUUGUCAUGCCAAUGGCACUGCCCGGUAGCUAAAUGCGGAAGAGAUAAGUGCUGAAAGCAUCUAAGCACGAAACUUGCCCCGAGAUGAGUUCUCCCUGACUCCUUGAGAGUCCUGAAGGAACGUUGAAGACGACGACGUU
Molecule: ribosomal RNA, 1584 nt
Filed under: Escherichia coli
Lineage: Bacteria; Pseudomonadati; Pseudomonadota; Gammaproteobacteria; Enterobacterales; Enterobacteriaceae
Description: partial 23S ribosomal RNA
Rfam family: Bacterial large subunit ribosomal RNA
Source: RNAcentral